This 765-nucleotide ribosomal RNA is filed under the name uncultured Streptococcus sp. RNAcentral describes it as "bacterial SSU rRNA". It matches the Rfam family "Bacterial small subunit ribosomal RNA", at positions 39 to 787 of the family's 1533-position model. Lineage: Bacteria; Bacillati; Bacillota; Bacilli; Lactobacillales; Streptococcaceae. The record is from RNAcentral.
GCGGCGUGCCUAAUACAUGCAAGUAGAACGCUGAAGAGAGGAGCUUGCUCUUCUUGGAUGAGUUGCGAACGGGUGAGUAACGCGUAGGUAACCUGCCUGGUAGCGGGGGAUAACUAUUGGAAACGAUAGCUAAUACCGCAUAAAAUGGAUUAUCGCAUGAUAAUCCAUUGAAAGGUGCAAAUGCAUCACUACCAGAUGGACCUGCGUUGUAUUAGCUAGUUGGUGGGGUAACGGCUCACCAAGGCGACGAUACAUAGCCGACCUGAGAGGGUGAUCGGCCACACUGGGACUGAGACACGGCCCAGACUCCUACGGGAGGCAGCAGUAGGGAAUCUUCGGCAAUGGACGGAAGUCUGACCGAGCAACGCCGCGUGAGUGAAGAAGGUUUUCGGAUCGUAAAGCUCUGUUGUAAGAGAAGAACGAGUGUGAGAGUGGAAAGUUCACACUGUGACGGUAUCUUACCAGAAAGGGACGGCUAACUACGUGCCAGCAGCCGCGGUAAUACGUAGGUCCCGAGCGUUGUCCGGAUUUAUUGGGCGUAAAGCGAGCGCAGGCGGUUAGAUAAGUCUGAAGUUAAAGGCUGUGGCUUAACCAUAGUACGCUUUGGAAACUGUUUAACUUGAGUGCAAGAGGGGAGAGUGGAAUUCCAUGUGUAGCGGUGAAAUGCGUAGAUAUAUGGAGGAACACCGGUGGCGAAAGCGGCUCUCUGGCUUGUAACUGACGCUGAGGCUCGAAAGCGUGGGGAGCAAACAGGAUUAGAUACCC